CCCUUAGAUGUUCUGGGCCGCACGCGCGCUACACUGAUGCAUUCAACGAGUCUAAAACCUGGUCUGAUAGGGCUGGGUAAUCUUUUGAAUGUGCAUCGUGAUUGGGAUAGAUGAUUGCAAUUCUUCAUCUUCAACGAGGAAUGCCUAGUAAACGCAAGUCAUCAGCUUGCAUUGAUUACGUCUCUGCCCUUUGUACACACCGCCCGUCGCUCCUACCGAUUGAAUGUUCCGAUGAAUACCAUGGACUGAGAGUAUGAAUGGGUUCGCCUAUUUCUGCUUCUCGGGAAGUGGAGUAAAUCUUAACAUUUAGAGGAAGGAGAAGUCGUAACA
This 330-nucleotide ribosomal RNA is filed under the name uncultured eukaryote. RNAcentral describes it as "partial 18S ribosomal RNA". It matches the Rfam family "Eukaryotic small subunit ribosomal RNA", at positions 1470 to 1796 of the family's 1831-position model. The record is from RNAcentral.